This 541-nucleotide ribosomal RNA is filed under the name uncultured Gallionellaceae bacterium. RNAcentral's name for it is "bacterial SSU rRNA". It matches the Rfam family "Bacterial small subunit ribosomal RNA", at positions 135 to 671 of the family's 1533-position model. The record is from RNAcentral. Lineage: Bacteria; Pseudomonadati; Pseudomonadota; Betaproteobacteria; Nitrosomonadales; Gallionellaceae.
AGUGGGGGAUAACGUAGCGAAAGUUACGCUAAUACCGCAUAUGCCCUGAGGGGGAAAGGAGGGGAUCGCAAGACCUUUCGCUUUCGGAGUGGCCGAUAUCAGAUUAGCUAGUUGGUGGGGUAAAGGCCCACCAAGGCGACGAUCUGUAGCGGGUCUGAGAGGAUGAUCCGCCACACUAGGACUGAGACACGGCCCAGACUCCUACGGGAGGCAGCAGUGGGGAAUUUUGGACAAUGGGGGCAACCCUGAUCCAGCCAUGCCGCGUGAGUGAAGAAGGCCUUCGGGUUGUAAAGCUCUUUCAGCCGGAAAGAAAUCGCACCGAUUAAUACUCGGUGUGGAUGACGGUACCGGAAGAAGAAGCACCGGCUAACUACGUGCCAGCAGCCGCGGUAAUACGUAGGGUGCGAGCGUUAAUCGGAAUUACUGGGCGUAAAGCGUGCGCAGGCGGUUUUGUAAGACAGGUGUGAAAUCCCCGGGCUUAACCUGGGAACUGCAUUUGUGACUGCAAGGCUAGAGUGUGGCAGAGGGGGGUAGAAUUCCG